RNAcentral lists this long non-coding RNA (9399 nucleotides) under Musa acuminata (dwarf banana). RNAcentral describes it as "long non-coding RNA (MACU_LNC004642)". Lineage: Eukaryota; Viridiplantae; Streptophyta; Magnoliopsida; Zingiberales; Musaceae. The record is from RNAcentral.
GAGAGAAAUGAGGUGUGGAAGCUUGUUCCUAUGCCAAAUGACCAUUUAGUUAUUGGUACUAAGUUGGUCUUCAGAAACAAGCAAGAUGAAUCUGGUAUCAUGGUUAGAAACAAAGCUAGAUUAGUGGCCAAAGGUUUCAACCAAGAAAAAGGUAUCAAUUACGAAGAAACCUUCGCUCCUAUGGCUCGAUUAGAAGCCAUAAGAAUGCUCAUUGCCUAUGCUAGUAGUAAUAAUUUUAAGUUGUUUCAAAUGGAUGUUAAAAGUGCUUUUCGUAAUGGCUUUAUUUCCAAAGAAAAUGAUAGUCUCCCUAAUCAUGUGUUUAAAUUAACUAAAGCUCUCUAUGAUUUAUCUCUUAUGAAUUUUUAAUUGAGAAAUGGAUUUGAUAUAAUAAUUCAUUCACAUGAAUUCUUUCUUAAUGAAGAAAUUUUUUUUUUUAGAUGAACACUUACAAUGAUUUAAUUUCACAUGAAUAUCUUGAUCCAUGUGAAAAAUGAAGCAUGAUUUAAUAAAACUCUUUUAUCAUUGUUAUCUUCAUUCAAAGUUGGUUCUUAAUGGUUUUUCCUCCUUACUUUCCUCCUUCAUGCGAAGUUUUAAUGAAAAAUAAAAAGGGAGAAGAUGAUGGAAGCCAUCUCGUUAUAUAUUUAUAACUUUUAAUGCGAGAACUUUUAAAUGAUAUCAUGUCAUGAAUGCUUGAAAUAUGAUUUAUAUGAAUUUCUUUACAAUUUGAAAUAUGACAUGAAUCUUUACCAUACUUGCAUUUAUUGUUGAGUCGUUCUCCUUUUUGUUGAUGACAAAGGGGGAGAAAUAAUACCAAAAUGUGGUAAAUUGAUGAUAAAUAUAUACAAUUUUACACUUGAAAUGUUUGCAUUAUGAUAAGAUAUCUAGAGCUUAACUUGUAAUUUUACAAAUUGAUAUCUUGCCAUAGAAUGAAUUGCUAUAUUUGUCAUCCUUCAUAUUUGAAAUAUCAAGACUUGAAAAUAGAUGUCAUGCCUUAACAUCAUUUUCAGAAUGUUACAUCAUGAUAGGAAUCAUGAUGUGUGUAUUGAUAAGUUUAAAUGAAUUUAACUUAUCAAUAUGUCUCUUGAAUUCAAAGGCUUUGAAUUCAAGAAUAACUUUUCUCAAGUAUGAUAUAUAGAUAGGGGGAGUUAAGAUUAACUCCGUUAUUAAUUGAUUGUCAUCAUCAAAAAGGGAGAGAUUGUUGAAUCUAUGAUUUUGAUUAUGAAGUCAAUUGUAAUUUGUUUGAUCUAAUCUUUAUGUUGAGAAAAGUGUGCAGGAUUAACUAUGAUGGUAGUAAGACUUGAAGCAGGUGUUAUGCCGGAGUCAUCGAGAUCAUGUUGGAAGUUCGAGAAUUCGUUGGGAGAUCGAGAUCACGGUGGUACCACCCAGACUGAGCAAUAGUACCGCCUAGUGUUAGAUGUCAAGCGAUAGUACCACCCAAUAAGGCGGUGGUAUCGCUAGGACCUCGGAAAUUCAGGAUGAGACACUUCUUGGCUCCAUUUUUAAAAGUCAUUAGGGUCUAUAAAUACCCCACCCUUUUUUGUAUAAAAGGGCACCGAAAUUUUGAUAUAUUCUUGAGUCUUUGAAGUGUUAAAGAGUUAUAAAAGUGCUAGAGUUCUCCUCCUUCCUUUCUAAAUGUUGAGAUCAUUCAAGAGAGGAGUGAAACUUAUAAGGGUUGUCUCCUAAACCCGACAAAAGGAGAAAAGCUGUAAAACAUGGUUGGCCUUCGCCUAUUGAAGGAAGGCCUCUAGUGGAUGCUGGUGACCUCAUCGGAGGAGGAAGCCGAAAGUGGAUGUAGGUCACGUUUGACCGAACCACUCUAAAACUCGGUUUGCAUUUACUUUGAGCAACUUUCUUUUAUAGCAAACUGCCUCUCCUCCUUACUAUGCUUUAAAUACGUCUACAUACGCUUUGAUGUAAAUAUCUUCGGAGAUCGGCUUUAAUCAUAUGAAGACUUUACGAAAUCGACGCUUUUCAUUUGUGCAACUUACAUUGCUACAAAUCACCUUAGUCUUCUCUUGCAUUUUCAUAUAAGGUUUUAAGUUAAAAUUCCUUCUGAAACGGAUUGAGUUGAAAUCAUUCUCGUUGAAUCGGCUUUAAUCGAAAUAAGGUUUUUGAAAUAGCGAAAGUUUUUCGCUGCACUAAUUCAUCCCCCCUCUUAGUGCGCUCUUGAUCCUAACAAUAUGCGAUGUUUAAGCUUCUGUUUCAUAUUUGUUUCUUGAUAUGCUUCGAAAUAUUUCAUAUGUCAUUGAUAUCCGAAUGCUCCUUACAUCUUUGAUAUGCUUUGAAAUAUUCUAUAUGUCAUUGAUAUGCUCCAAAAUAAUUUAUCUGUAACUAAUCGUUAGUCGCUUACUGAGCUUUAUGUGCUCACCCUAUUGCUAUAUAAAAUUUUCAGGAUAGCUUGUCGCUUGCUAGAAUGUUUAAAUUGAUCUAUGAUAGUGGAAAGCUAGAAGGUUUUGAGGUAAAUUUUUCAUACUUGAUAAGUUGAUAUUGUACAAGUUCCUUUUGUGUGUAUCAACGACAAAUCUAGAUUUAUGUAUCUUGUAAAUAUUUAAAAAGUAUCCCUCGUAUCGGGAUUUUGGGAAUGUUAAGUUAAUUUGUGUAAUGAUAUGAAAAUAUGGUAAACAUUAGUUUUUGUGAUUGUAUAGAUUCCCACAACUAUGGAUUUAUGAUGUGGUUAUGGUUCAAUUAAGUAGGUUUUGGAUUUUGUGAAUCAUUACGUGAUACGAUGGUACGAUUAUAAACUGGACAGGUCUUAUCGAUUAUGAAAUAUAUGAAAAUGACUUAAACGUUUUCUCAGUGUCCUCAAAUGUGUGAUUGGAUCUUGGAAUGAAAUGUAUUAUUGAUCUAUAAUAAAUUUGAGAGGGGGCGUGACGAAGAUGGUAUCAGAGCAUGGUUUGAGGAUCUCUGAGAUAUUUGAUUUGUUUGAUGUGCAAAAUAUAAUGAGGAUUAGUAAAUUAUAUUGAGGACUAGUAAACUAUAGUGAUCAGUGAAAAUUUUCUUUGAUGUCUUUUUGGAAUCUAAGAUGUCAAUAACAUUUGGUCCUCCUACUUUAUCUGCUUCUGAUUAAUUAAGGAGGAUAAAAGGGUUGAUCGGGGAUAUUUAAUUAGAAUGGCGCAGCGGAAGCAUGAUGAAUCUAAUUCAUUGGUGGCAGAAUAGUAGCAGAAUAAUGGGUGAUAUGAAUAAAGAAGACCCAAUGAUGUUGAUGGCCUCUAUCUAGGUGUAAUUUUGAUCUUAUCUUUUAAUCGAAGGAGAUAUGACAAAUUUAGAGAACUAAAAUUUUCUUUUAAGGAGUGGAGAGUGUAACAUCCCUUAUUUUUGAAAAAUUUAUAAGGGCUUAUUUGUAAUGUAAGGACCUAAGAGUAAAUAUUAAAAAUUUGAUAUGAUUUAUGAAAGAUUCAGAUUUAAGUUAAAAAAAAAAAAUGGUGGACAUGUGUGACUAGCUAACCUAAUGGUGCCACAUAAGUUUAUUCUAUGGAUGACACCUAAGCCCCUUUCAUGCAUGCUUGCCACAUUGCAAUCCUUAUAUUAGCUUCUAAUGCAUUAGAGGAGAAAUAAAAUGAUGAAAACUAAAGAAGCUGCAGUCAACAUUGGUUUGAGAUGAGAAGGGAAUUGAAGAAGAAGAAGAAGAAGAAGAAGAAGAAGAAGAAGAAGAAGAGGAAAAAGCUUUGCUUUGGCUUGAGGUUUUGCAUCAAUUACACACUUUUGGGACUCAAAUUUGUAUAAGACAAGAGUUCUAACCCAUUUCUACAGAAAUUCUAAUAUCUAUCUUCAUUUUAAUUCUUUAUAAUUCGAAAGGUUUCAGCUUAGCACCAAACCUUUCUUUCGUUUUGAUACAAAGCCAUGAAUCUGUAAUUUUUCGGUAACCUAACCUCUAUACACUAUUUCAAACCUAACUUUUAACGAUAAUAUCUAAUUUAGGCAUAUCCCUAUUCAUUUGAAAGUAGACUCAAAAUUUUUAUUUUGAUACUGAGAUUGAAUGGUUUGGAAUUUAAAUGCCUACUAAGACUUCUGUUUCAAUUAACCCUAUAGAUUCUGUAAAACAAUGACUAUAAUUUCUAACCUCUUAUUGCUUAACUGCUUAUAACUUUCCGUUCAAAACUCCGAUUCAUGAAAUUAUAUUUAUUGGAAACUAAACUCAUAGAUCUUUCUAUACAUAUCUAAUUUGAAUGAUUUGGAGCUCAAUUACCUAUUGAAUCAUCUGUUCAAAUCAACUUUGUGAAUUCUGUAAAAAGAUAAUAUUUUCUGAUCUUUGGUUACUAAAUUGUUUAUAACACCUUAUUAGAAACUCCGAUUCAUACAAAGCUUGAGUUAUCAAAAACUAGAUUGAUACAGCUUUUGAAUGAUACCUAUUUUGUGUAAAUUGGAGCAAAAUUGAUCAUCCAAAUAAUUCAUGCAAUGUGUCUCUCAAAUUCUAUCAGAAUCGAGCUUUGAUCGAUUUCGCUUAUUCUUGUUUCGUAUCUUUGGAAAUUGAUUUCAGCUAAAAUCCUUACUUUAGUUGAGCUUUACAUUAUUGCUUUAAAUUCAUGUAUUAUCUUGUUCUACGAGUAUUUGCAUAUCUUAAUCUGGUAUAUAAACUUUAUGAUUGUAUCAUAAUGUUUCGUAUAGGCACAUGCAUUCCGUUGUUCUGCAUGUGUUUCCGAUAUGUCCCAAUUUAUUGUUCACAAUACCUUUUGUACUUUGGUGUUUGUGGAAUCAUUUGAACCUUUACUAGAAAUAGUAAAGAGAUUAUAUAGACCUUUGCCAGAAAUGAUAAAGGGAUUAUCUGGACCUUUGCCAAAAAUGGUAAAGGGCAUGUGCUUAGAGCCCGCGAUGCUCUAGAUUAUGUUUGGUGGUCAUUCAGAAAUGGAUGGACCAUAUUAUGUUUGGGAUCUCACUUCACUUUCUAUUUGCUUGAUAUGAUAUCCAAAGCUUUGGUUAUAUACUUCUAUCUGUGCUUUGGAUAAGAAUAAAAUGUAUGCAACGUCAUAUGCGACUUUUGAGCUUCUGUUUCGUAUUUGUUCCUUGAUAUGCUCCGAAAUGUUUCAUAUGUCAUUAAUAUCCGAAAUGAUCCUUACUUCUUUAAUAUGCUUUGAAAUAUUUUAUAUGUCAUGGAUAUACUUCAUAUACCAUUAAUAUGCUCCGAAAUGAUUUAUCUGCCAUUAAUCCUUAGUCACUUGCUGAGCUCAAUGUGCUCAUCCCGUUGCUAAAUAAUUUUUUUAGUAUAGCUUGUCGCUUGCUAGAAUGUUUAAAUUGAGCUAUGACAAUUGAAAGCCAGAAGGUUUAGGGGCAAAUCUUUCGUACUUGAUAAGUUGAUGUUGUAUAAGUUCCUUUUGUGUGUAUCAACGAUAAAUCUAGAUUGAUGUAUCUUGUAAAUAUUUGAAAAGUAACCCUCAUAUCAGGAUUUUGGGAAUGUUAAGCUAAUUUGUAUAAUGAUAUGAAAAUGUGGUAAACAUUAGUUUUUGUGAUUGUAUAGAUUCCCACAACUAUGGAUUUAUGAUGUGGUUAUGGUUUAGUUGAGUAGGUUUUGGAUUUUGUGAAUCAUUACUUGAUAUGAUAGUACGAUUAUAAACUGCAUAGGUCUUAUGGAUUAUGAAAUAUAUGGAAAUGACUUGAAUAUUUUCUUAAUGUCCUCAAAUGUGUGACUUGAUCCUAGAAUGGAAUAUAUUGUUGAUCAAUAAUAAAUUCGGGGGGCGUGACAAAUGUGCACACUAGCAAUUCUUCCUCCCUUUUUGUCAGUGGUAAAAAGAAGGGAAGAAUAAAAUGUUGUAAUUCUUUUCCCUUUACAUCCAUUUUCAAAUCAUGACAAAGAUAAAUAACAAGAAUAGAUUUUCAUCAAUGUUUCAAUCAAAAAUAAAAGAUCAAGUCAUGAAUACCAAAAUAUGAUAUAUCAUUUUUGACAAAUUUUUUCUUUUAUAAAUAGAAGGAAUGAUAGGAAACAAUCUUGAUUUAAAAAGAACACUCAAGUCAUAAAAAUCUAGAAAUCAAGAUCAUGAUCCGAAUAAUGUAUAAGAAGAGUUUAUGCCUUUGGGAGAUUUAUGUUUGCCAUUCAAGCUAGCACUUUUUUAGUUCUAUUUUACAAUAUGCAAGCUAACAAUUUCCUUCUUCUUUUGCAACAAUGAUUCAAUCAUAUCAUGAGAUAUACAAAUCAUAAAUACAAGAAAAUUGUACACAAUAAACUUUAAAUUAUAAACAUCAAGAAGUCUAGUGAUAUAUCGUGGUUAAUUUGAAUGCAUACCCCCUUUUUAGUGAAUACCAAGAAGAAUCGUAGGAGGACAAUUUGUGAAAAAUCUUGAUUCAUAAUAAAACUUUCAAUUUGUAAUCAAAAGAAUAAUCAUGAUUCGUUUGGAUGAAUGUUUUCUUAAGAGAGUGAAUCAUAUGAGAAUCAAGAAAAAUAUUUCAUAUAAAAUAUAUCACGAGUCACAAACAUCAAUAAAUGGUUCGAUUGGAUAUAUCAUCUCAUUAUUAAAAUGAAUCAUAUGAAAAGAAAUCCCAAAUCAUCAUCAACAUAGAUAGUUUCCUAUAAGAUUAAAAAUAGCUCAAGUUCUUUUAGUUUCAAAUUUUGUGAUUGAUUUCAUGCAAGCAUGCCUUUAUCUUUUUAUGCCAAAUCAAAACAUGCAUCAUCGUUUAAACUUGAAAAACAAGAUUUAUCACAAAAAUCAUCAAGAUCAAAGGUGUAACACAUAAUUCCAAAGCAUAAGAAUUCAAAUCAUCAUUACUUCAAAUCCUUAUGAAUAAUAUAAAAUCAUCAAGCAUGAUACCAAACCUUCGAACAUUUUCAUUGCAUUAUUACAUCAUUACAUCAUUAAAACAUCAAGCAUGAUUUUUAGUAAACAUAAGGAAUUUUCAAUCAAAAUCAUUUUAUUUAUUGUAGUAAUACAUUUUUCUUUUUAAAUGAAUCUAACUUUUCAUGCUUAGUUCUAGGAGUUAACAUGCAAUUUUCAUGCUCAAAUUUUUAAUUUUUUUAAUUUUUAAAAUCACUAGAAAAAAAGCAUAAUUUUUAUAUUUUUUAUUUCUUACUAACUAAUUUAAAAAAUAACUCAUGAAAUGCAUUAAGUAAUUUCACAACUUUGUCAUCAUCGGUUUGCUUGAGUUGUUUACCUUAUUGUCGAGAGCCAUCAAAGCGAAGUUCACAACUUUGUCAUCAUCGGUUUGCUCCUCAUUUUCGGAUGCACUCAAACCGUCCUAAGUCGCAUUGAGUGUUUUCUUCUUCUUUGGCAACUUCUUCUUUUUAAGAUUAUUUUUAUUUUUAUUUUCAUAUUUUAUAAAUUUUAUAAUUUACUUGUGAGGAGUUCUAUGUCAUCAUCACUUGAGCUUUUGUUCGAGUCGUCUUUUGUUCGAAGUAUAAAAUCCUUCCUAUUCUUUGGAAGGUUAUUCUUAUGUUCAUAAUGUGCUUUGCACGUCAUUUCAUAUGUCAUCAAUGAGCCAAUAAGUUAUUCCAGUAGAAAAUUGUUAAAGUUCUUCACCUCUUGUAUUAUAGUUUCUUUCGGAUCCCAACUCUUUGGAAGGGAUAUUAGAAUCUUGUUUAUAAGUUCAAUAUUAGAAAAACAUUUGCCAAGAGCUUUUAAACUAUUGAUGACAUGUGUAAAACGGGUGUACAUGUCAAUAAUAGUUUCGCUUGGCUUCAUACAAAAUAUUUUAAAAUCAUGCAUUAAAAGAUUAAUUUUUGAAUAUUUAACUCUACUAGUACUUUCGUGUGUGAUUUCAAGUGUGUGCUAAAUCUCAUAAGCUGUUUCAUAAAUAGAAACUCGAUUGAAUUCAUUUUUAUCCUAGUAUAAAAUAAAGCAUUCAUAGCUUUGACAUUCAAAGAGAAAGUCUUCUUUUUCAAAUCAUUCAAAUCAUUCAUUGGAAGAGAAGAGUUUUGAAAUUUGUUUUCAAUAAUAUUCCAAAAAUCAAGAUUCAACGAAAGUAAGAAAACUCUCAUCCAAGUUUUCCAAUAAGUGUAGUCCAUCCAAUUGAACAUAGGAGGACAAAUGAUAGAGUGACCCUAUUGAAAGCCGAAAAGAGUCAUUUCUCAUAGGUGUUAAGUCAAACGAGAAAAAAAUAUAAAUCUAAUAUCAACUGUUAUGAUCAAGUCGGCACUAAGAGGGGGGGUGAAUUAGUACGUAUGUAAAAAUCAUGUUGAAUCAAAAAUCUUCGUAUGAUAAAAUCAUUUUUACAAAACCCGCAUCGGAAAGUAAUGAAAGUAAUAACUUAGAGUAAAUGUAAAGUGUAGAGUGCAGCUAAGUAAUGAAAGAAAGCAGUAAGAAAAGAACACAUCGGGUUUAUAGUGGUUCGAUCAUCAUGACCUAUAUCUACUCCUGAUUCCUCUUCACUUGAGAUCAUCGGCUUUUACUAGUGGUCUUCCUUUAAUGGGCGAAGACUAACUACCCUUACAAUCCUAUUCCCCUUUUGACGAGCUCAAGAGAGAACUUUUAUAAGCCAAUUCACUCAUCUCUUUGUAAUAUCCCUCACUUUUAAAAAUUUAUUAAUAAAGAUUUAUAUGUAAAUUAGAGGACCUAUAUGUAAAUAUAAAAAUUUCAAGGACUAAACUGUUAAGUUGCAAAAAGAAAAAAAUAAAGAAAACCGAAAAUUUUGGUUUUAUCCCACCGCCUCCCACGCUCUCUGUUCGAACAGAGAGAGGAGCGCGUGGGGAGAAGAAGAGAGGAAGAAGAGGGAGAAGAGAAGAAGAAGAAGAAGAAGAAGAGAGGAGGAUAGCUGCGGCAAGGCUGCAGCGAGGAGGUGUGUGGCGUUGGGGAGGAAAAGGGAAGAGGAGAAGAAGAGAAGGAGAAGAAGAGGGAAAAGAGAGGGAAGAGGGAGAGGAGCAAGAGGUGGAAGCAGCUAGGGCUGCAGCACCUUUGUUUCCUGCAAGUCGAAACAGAGGAGAGGUGUGGGGCGAUCGAAGAGGAGAAGAAGAAGAAGAGGAAGCAGGAGAAGAGGUUGUGAUGCCUCUGUUCCUGCAGAGGAAACAGAGGAGAGGGUGUGUGUGACGCCGGGGAGGAGGAGGGAAGAAGAAGAGGAGAAGAAGAAGAGAAGGGAAAGGAGGAGCUGUGGUUGCGGCGGUGGCAACUGCAGCUGGAAGAGAAGGAGAGGAAGAGAUGGCGAGGAAGAAGAGAAGAAGAAGAAAGGAAGGAGAAGGAAGAGGAUAAGGGAAAGAAGUAGCUGCGGCUGCGGCUGUGGCAGCUGCAGCUAUGGCAGGGAAANNNNNNNNNNNNNNNNNNNNAAGAAGAGGCUGCAGCCGUGGCUAAGGCUGCGACUGCAGCAGUGCAGCUGGGAAAGAAGAGAAGGAAAGGAAGAAGAAGAGAAAGGAAAAGGGAAGAAGAGAGGAAGAGGAGAAGGGGAGGCAGCUGCGGCAGUGGUAGCUGCAGCUGGAAGAGAAGGAGAGGAAACAUAGCACAGGGGAGGAAGAAGAGGCUGCGGCUAUGGUGGUUGCGGCCGUGGCUG